UACAGAGGGGGCAAGCGUUGUUCGGAAUUACUGGGCGUAAAGGGCGCGUAGGCGGCCUGUUAAGUCGAACGUGAAAGCCCCGGGCUCAACCUGGGAAGUGCAUUGGAUACUGGGAGACUUGAAUACGGGAGAGGGUAGUGGAAUUCCUAGUGUAGGAGUGAAAUCCGUAGAUAUUAGGAGGAACACCGGUGGCGAAGGCGGCUACCUGGACCGAUAUUGACGCUGAGACGCGGAAGCGUGGGGAGCAAACAGG
RNAcentral lists this ribosomal RNA (253 nucleotides) under uncultured bacterium. RNAcentral describes it as "partial 16S ribosomal RNA". It matches the Rfam family "Bacterial small subunit ribosomal RNA", at positions 524 to 776 of the family's 1533-position model. The record is from RNAcentral.